RNAcentral lists this transfer RNA (75 nucleotides) under Candidatus Peregrinibacteria bacterium CG_4_10_14_0_2_um_filter_38_24. RNAcentral describes it as "tRNA-Glu". It matches the Rfam family "tRNA". Rfam says of the family: Transfer RNA (tRNA) molecules are approximately 80 nucleotides in length. Their secondary structure includes four short double-helical elements and three loops (D, anti-codon, and T loops). The record is from RNAcentral. Lineage: Bacteria; Candidatus Peregrinibacteriota. RNAcentral also lists the same sequence under 2 other names.
GGUGCCAUCGUCUAGUGGUUAGGACAACGGGUUUUCAUCCCGUAAACGGGAGUUCAAUUCUCCCUGGCACUACCA